This 356-nucleotide ribosomal RNA is filed under the name uncultured bacterium. Its description in RNAcentral is "bacterial SSU rRNA". It matches the Rfam family "Bacterial small subunit ribosomal RNA", at positions 1 to 334 of the family's 1533-position model. The record is from RNAcentral.
GUCUAGUACUCAGUAGUUUGAUCCGUGGUCAGGAUGAACGCUGGCGGCGUGCUUAACACAUGCAAGUCGAACGAAGCACCUGAAUGGAUUUCUUCGGAAUGAGGUUCUUGUGACUGAGUGGCGGACGGGUGAGUAACGCGUGGGUAACCUGCCUUACACAGGGGGAUAACAGUUAGAAAUGACUGCUAAUACCGCAUAACCCGCUAGUACCGCAUGGUACAGACGGAAAAGAUUUAUCGGUGUAAGAUGGACCCGCGUCUGAUUAGCUGGUUGGCAGGGUAACGGCCUACCAAGGCGACGAUCAGUAGCCGACUUGAGAGAGUGACCGGCCACAUUGGGACUGAGACACGGCCCAA